UCUGUUGUCGAUGGGUCAAUA
Caenorhabditis elegans is the source of this 21-nucleotide non-coding RNA. The record is from Ensembl. Lineage: Eukaryota; Metazoa; Nematoda; Chromadorea; Rhabditida; Rhabditidae.